RNAcentral lists this ribosomal RNA (437 nucleotides) under uncultured Lachnospiraceae bacterium. RNAcentral describes it as "bacterial SSU rRNA". It matches the Rfam family "Bacterial small subunit ribosomal RNA", at positions 341 to 792 of the family's 1533-position model. The record is from RNAcentral. Lineage: Bacteria; Bacillati; Bacillota; Clostridia; Lachnospirales; Lachnospiraceae.
ACGGGAGGCAGCAGUGGGGAAUAUUGGGCAAUGGGCGAAAGCCUGACCCAGCAACGCCGCGUGAAGGAAGAAGGUCUUCGGAUUGUAAACUUCUUUUAUGAGGGACGAAGGACGUGACGGUACCUCAUGAAUAAGCCACGGCUAACUACGUGCCAGCAGCCGCGGUAAUACGUAGGUGGCAAGCGUUAUCCGGAUUUACUGGGUGUAAAGGGUGCGUAGGCGGUAAAGCAAGUUAGAUGUGAAACCUCAGGGCUUAACCCUGAGCAUGCAUCUAAAACUACUGGACUAGAGUAUAGGAGAGGAAAGCGGAAUUCCUGGUGUAGCGGUGAAAUGCGUAGAUAUCAGGAAGAACACCGGCGGCGAAGGCGGCUUUCUGGACUAAAACUGACGCUGAGGCACGAAAGCGUGGGGAGCAAACAGGAUUAGAUACCCUGGUA